GCGCCUGUGGCCUAAUGGAUAAGGCACCUGUCUUCGGAACAGGGUUUUAUGGGGGUUCGAGUCCCUCCAGGCGCGC
This 76-nucleotide transfer RNA is filed under the name Microgenomates group bacterium ADurb.Bin238. RNAcentral describes it as "tRNA-Arg". It matches the Rfam family "tRNA". From Rfam's summary of the family: Transfer RNA (tRNA) molecules are approximately 80 nucleotides in length. Their secondary structure includes four short double-helical elements and three loops (D, anti-codon, and T loops). The record is from RNAcentral.